AAACGUUGCUUCGGCGGGAACAGACGGCCCUGUAACACGGGCCGCCCCCGCCAGAGGACCCCCUAACUCUGUAUCUGUUAUGUUUUUUCUGAGUAAACAAGCAAAUAAAUUAAAACUUUCAACAACGGAUCUCUUGGCUCUGGCAUCGAUGAAGAACGCAGCGAAAUGCGAUAAGUAAUGUGAAUUGCAGAAUUCAGUGAAUCAUCGAAUCUUUGAACGCACAUUGCGCCCGCCAGUAUUCUGGCGGGCAUGCCUGUUCGAGCGUCAUUACAACCCUCAGGCCCCCGGGCCUGGCGUUGGGGAUCGGCGGAGCCCCCCGUGGGCACACGCCGUCCCCUAAAUACAGUGGCGGUCCCGCCGCAGCUUCCAUUGCGUAGUAGCUAACACCUCGCAACUGGAGAGCGGCGCGGCCACGCCGUAAAACACCCAACUUCUGAAUGUUGACCUCGAAUCAGGUAGGAAUACCCGCUGAACUUAAGCAUAUCAAUAAGCGGAGGAA
Molecule: ribosomal RNA, 499 nt
Filed under: Fusarium neocosmosporiellum
Lineage: Eukaryota; Fungi; Ascomycota; Sordariomycetes; Hypocreales; Nectriaceae
Description: eukaryotic LSU rRNA
Rfam family: 5.8S ribosomal RNA (bases 114-267)
Source: RNAcentral